ACGAACGACUAUGCACUGCACAACCCUAGGAGAGGGUGCCAUUCACAUAGACUAUAGUUGAAUGGCGCCACUAGGGUUGUGCAGUGCACAGCCUACCC
Molecule: microRNA precursor, 98 nt
Organism: Cricetulus griseus (Chinese hamster)
Lineage: Eukaryota; Metazoa; Chordata; Mammalia; Rodentia; Cricetidae
Gene: Mir652
Product: microRNA 652
Source: Ensembl